This 464-nucleotide ribosomal RNA is filed under the name Vreelandella stevensii. Its description in RNAcentral is "partial 16S ribosomal RNA". It matches the Rfam family "Bacterial small subunit ribosomal RNA", at positions 338 to 795 of the family's 1533-position model. The record is from RNAcentral. Lineage: Bacteria; Pseudomonadati; Pseudomonadota; Gammaproteobacteria; Oceanospirillales; Halomonadaceae.
CCUACGGGGGGCUGCAGUGGGGAAUAUUGGACAAUGGGGGCAACCCUGAUCCAGCCAUGCCGCGUGUGUGAAGAAGGCCCUCGGGUUGUAAAGCACUUUCAGUGAGGAAGAACGCCUGGUGGUUAAUACCCAUCAGGAAAGACAGCACUCACAGAAGAAGCACCGGCUAACUCCGUGCCAGCAGCCGCGUAAUACGGAGGGUGCGAGCGUUAAUCGGAAUUACUGGGCGUAAAGCGCGCGUAGGUGGCUUGAUAAGCCGGUUGUGAAAGCCCCGGGCUCAACCUGGGAACGGCAUCCGGAACUGUCAAGCUAGAGUGCAGGAGAGGAAGGUAGAAUUCCCGGUGUAGCGGUGAAAUGCGUAGAGAUCGGGAGGAAUACCAGUGGCGAAGGCGGCCUUCUGGACUGACACUGACACUGAGGUGCGAAAGCGUGGGUAGCAAACAGGAUUAGAUACCCUGGUAGUC